RNAcentral lists this ribosomal RNA (578 nucleotides) under uncultured bacterium. Its description in RNAcentral is "bacterial SSU rRNA". It matches the Rfam family "Bacterial small subunit ribosomal RNA", at positions 338 to 916 of the family's 1533-position model. The record is from RNAcentral.
CCUACGGGAGGCAGCAGUAAGGAAUAUUGGUCAAUGGACGGAAGUCUGAACCAGCCAUGCCGCGUGCAGGAAGACGGCCCUACGGGUUGUAAACUGCUUUUGCAGGGGAAUAAACCCCCGAUACGUGUAUCGGGCUGAAUGUACUCUGAGAAUAAGGAUCGGCUAACUCCGUGCCAGCAGCCGCGGUAAUACGGAGGAUCCAAGCGUUAUCCGGAUUUAUUGGGUUUAAAGGGUGCGUAGGUGGCCUGUUAAGUCAGGGGUGAAAGACGGUAGCUUAACUAUCGCAGUGCCCUUGAUACUGAUGGGCUUGAAUAAACUAGAGGUAGGCGGAAUGUGACAAGUAGCGGUGAAAUGCAUAGAUAUGUCACAGAACACCAAUUGCGAAGGCAGCUUACUAUGGUUUUAUUGACACUGAGGCACGAAAGCGUGGGGAUCAAACAGGAUUAGAUACCCUGGUAGUCCACGCCCUAAACGAUGAAUACUCGAUGUUGGCGAUAUACGGUCAGCGUCUAAGCGAAAGCGUUAAGUAUUCCACCUGGGGAGUACGUCCGCAAGGGUGAAACUUAAGGAAUUGACGG